UACGUAGGAUGCAAGCGUUGUCCGGAAUUUAUUGGGCGUAAAGAGCGCGCAGGCGGUAUGACAAGUCAGAUGUGAAAGAGGCCGGCUAACCGGCAAGGGUCAUUUGAAACUGUCAGACUGAGUGCAGCAGAGGAUAGUGGAAUUCCCGGUGUAGUGGUAGAAAUGCGUAGAUAUCGGGAGGAACACCAGUGGCGAAGGCGACUAUCUGGCUGCAACUGACGCUGAGGUGCGAAAGCGUGGGGAGCAAACAGG
This 252-nucleotide ribosomal RNA is filed under the name uncultured bacterium. RNAcentral's name for it is "partial 16S ribosomal RNA". It matches the Rfam family "Bacterial small subunit ribosomal RNA", at positions 524 to 776 of the family's 1533-position model. The record is from RNAcentral.